UGAAAAUGGAUCAUGGAUUUUCUGCUUCAACCCGACUGUUCUCCAUCGAAUCCAUAUAAGCACGUCUUGGGCUCACUUUCGUCGCACCAUCCUCCAUUAUCUCUACUUCUCAUUCUCUUUCGCGAAUAUAAGUUCAGUAACCGCACCAACCACAUACCAGACCCAUAGACGCUCGCCACCACUUCUGGUCCAAUCAACAAAUUCUUUUUUUAGGAUUGAGACAAAUUCAUAACAAGCAUGAGGUAUAAGAAGACUUGCCGAGCAUACCUUAAAUUGCGUCUUGUUCAACAUCAUCCAUUAAAGAAAGUAAAUAGCAUGUCGUGUUCUUGAGAUUUAACAUCAAAUUAAAUGGUCAGACGAACUCAAUUACACACAAUCGGCAAGUCUACCGGUCGUGAUACAAUAAAGUCGGUAAGACCGAGUAACAAUCCAAGGACAUAAUGGCGCGUCUCUCGAUACUAAACCUCUAUCGAGUCAUAGUCUAGUAAUAUUUAGUGGAUGUUUGGAUUUCUAUUAACUACUAAAGCAAAUACGAAUGCAAAUAUGAAAGCAAAGCAAGCAGAAAACGAAUAUAGGUGAAAUCAGGUGAUGAGAUAGUAGCUACCUUAAAAAGAAUUAUGUUAACUCGUCACAGCUCUCAGGAUUGGAUAAUUAGAUUUUGCUAUCUGGAUCUUAAAAUACACUAAUCUAGACCUAAGACUGGAUCGUAGAUCACUCUCCAAACAUGACGCAAUCUAGUAUCUAGGGAAGUGUGUAAAAUCACUUGUCUAGGGUUCAGAUCACCUUUCAGUCUCUCUAAACGAAUUAUAAGUAUCCUAAAUUUGGAUAUCCUCUUGGUACCACCGGAAAAGUACAUCCAGGAAGUGUAAGAGAUGUAAGGGGUAGUGAAUUUAACAGGUUUCUAACACAGGAUAACAAGGAUGCUAAAGUUCAUUACUUUGGAAACAUCACAUGUAUUAUGCUCUAAUAACCUUGUAAAGAUGCUUAUGACAAUUUAAUGCCCAUUGCAUCUCACUAGUUUUUCUUUGCACAUUCAUACUUAGAUCCAUAAAAGUUCGGAUUUUUCUUCAGUAUGUAUAGUUGGCGUUUAUACCAAGGUUUGGGAACGAGAAGGUAAUACUUGCUUACCAUACACCGCUGUAAGUAUGAUGACCAUGUUGUACAAGAUCAAAGAUGACGAUGACAUAAUUGAAUUGUCCCCCCAGUCAAUGUUCUUCGGUGACAUGACAUUUUUAUCAACCUUAGAGAGCAUCUUACACAAAAAAAAGUAUGGUCUGGAAAAAGUUGGGCUCCCACCUGUGAAUGAAUCUUCAACAAAGUUUGAUUAUGUAAGCAUAAAGAGAUACAUGGUCGACUGUCUUAGGGUGUCUGGGAGACAUGGAGUGACAAUUUUAACAUUUCAUAUUUUGUACUUUCUAUAUUUAGAAACUUGUAUUCGUAUUUCAUUUCUAAUCUUGUAAUCCGAGACUUCGAUAAUAGUGGAAAUCCGUAUUUAUAUAAAUCAUAUUAGAAUCA
This is a long non-coding RNA of Helianthus annuus (common sunflower), 1515 nucleotides long. RefSeq lists it as uncharacterized. The transcript is spliced from 3 exons. Lineage: Eukaryota; Viridiplantae; Streptophyta; Magnoliopsida; Asterales; Asteraceae. The record is from RefSeq and is a predicted model, not a curated record.